RNAcentral lists this ribosomal RNA (497 nucleotides) under uncultured bacterium. Its description in RNAcentral is "partial 16S ribosomal RNA". It matches the Rfam family "Bacterial small subunit ribosomal RNA", at positions 28 to 507 of the family's 1533-position model. The record is from RNAcentral.
GAUGAACGCUGGCGGCGUGCCUAAUACAUGCAAGUCGAGCGAACGGACGAGAAGCUUGCUUCUCUGAUGUUAGCGGCGGACGGGUGAGUAACACGUGGAUAACCUACCUAUAAGACUGGGAUAACUUCGGGAAACCGGAGCUAAUACCGGAUAAUAUUUUGAACCGCAUGGUUCAAAAGUAAAAGACGGUCUUGCUGUCACUUAUAGAUGGAUCCGCGCUGCAUUAGCUAGUUGGUAAGGUAACGGCUUACCAAGGCAACGAUGCAUAGCCGACCUGAGAGGGUGAUCGGCCACACUGGAACUGAGACACGGUCCAGACUCCUACGGGAGGCAGCAGUUGGGAAUCUUCCGCAAUGGGCGAAAGCCUGACGGAGCAACGCCGCGUGAGUGAUGAAGGUCUUCGGAUCGUAAAACUCUGUUAUUAGGGAAGAACAUAUGUGUAAGUAACUGUGCACAUCUUGACGGUACCUAAUCAGAAAGCCACGGCUAACUACGUG